This 222-nucleotide long non-coding RNA is filed under the name Lathyrus oleraceus (garden pea). RNAcentral's name for it is "Pisum sativum (pea) long non-coding RNA (PSAT_LNC005127)". Lineage: Eukaryota; Viridiplantae; Streptophyta; Magnoliopsida; Fabales; Fabaceae. The record is from RNAcentral.
UAACAUUGCAUAACAGGUGUUCUAAAGGGAUCAAUGUUCUCACGGUUUUCAUGCAAACAGAAAAUGGACCUUGAACAAACUGUCAAAGAUCUCCAGACUCAGAAUGCCCAAUUCAAGGAGAUGAUGCUAAGCUUAUCCAAGGGGCAGGAGGAACUGAAGGCUCUUUUGCUCGAAAAGAAGAAAGACAAGAAAGCUGUGAGUUUCAUUAACCCGGGAAGAAGG